This 1180-nucleotide non-coding RNA is filed under the name Neurospora crassa. Lineage: Eukaryota; Fungi; Ascomycota; Sordariomycetes; Sordariales; Sordariaceae. The record is from RNAcentral.
GAAACUAAUCGUGCCCCCUUUGAUUUAGCUGAGGCUACUAAUAUGAUUUGGUCUCAUUAAAGAUCACAAAUUGCUGGAAACUCCUUUGAGGCUAGGACAAUCAGCAAGGAAGUUAACAUAUAAUGUUAAAACCUUCAGAGACUAGACGUGAUCAUUUAAUAGACGCCUUGCGGCUCUUAUUAGAUAAGGUAUAGUCCAAAUUUGUAUGUAAAUACAAAAUGAUAAAAAAAAUGAAAUCAUAUAUAAAUAUGAACUCUACCGUUACUACCUUAGGUGCGAACUAUUUAGUUCAUACAGGUUAUUUUAAUACUAUAUCUAGAUUAAAAGUUUGUACAAUAGCUAGUUAUAGAUAUUAUUCUACUUCAAAAUCAGAUUCACAAUCAUCCGAUUUACCUCCUGUUCCUAUUUUUACUAUUAAUAAUCUAAAUAAUAAAGACUCUAUUAAAUCUUCUAGAAUAUUAUUAAAAGACAAAGGAGGUAUUUAUUCUUUUAUUAAUACAGUCAAUAAUAAUCAAUAUAUCGGAAGUGCCAAGGAUUUUUAUUUAAGACUUAAUGAACAUUUGGAAAAUAAGAAGUCUAAUAUUGCUUUACAAAAAGCAUUUACUAAGUAUGGCUUAGAUAAAUUUAUAUUUUGUAUAUAUGAAUAUUUCACAUACGAAAGCAAAAUUAUAAGUCAUAAAGCUUUAACUGAUCUAGAGACUAGUUAUAUUAACAGAUUUAAUUUUGAUAAUCUUUACAAUUUUAAAGCUAUAGCUACAAGCUCUUUAGGUUAUAAACAUACAGAAGAAGCAAGAUUAAAGAUGGUUGAUUAUUAUAAGGAUAAAAAUAAUCAUCCUAUGUUUGGUAAAACUCAUACUGAAGAAGCACUAGGUUUAAUUAGUAAACCAGGUGAAUUAAAUCCUAUGUUUGGUAAAAAACAUAGUGAAGCUACUAAGGCGUCUAUGAGUGAAAAAAAGAAUAAAUAUCCUUUAGGUGUAGGUAUUUAUGAUUUAGAGGACAAUUUAAUUUUAAAGUUUAGUAAUAAUGUAGAGCUAGCUAAAUAUUUAGGUAUUUCUAAGGUUACAGUAGGUAAGUAUUUAAAUUCGGGUCUUGUAUAUAAUAAAACUUAUCGGUUUAAACCUAUACAAGAUUAGAUAUGGUUGUUUUAUUUUUUGGAAUCAGAAUUAGUUAGUGGUUUUAU